GGCGUGUAGCGCUGGGGCGUCCCAUGUGAAAGACACGCUCACGUGGGGAGCGUGGGAUACGCUCAGGCUAGACGUGGGAGAGGGUGUGGAAUUCCCGGAGUAGCGGUGAAAUGCGCAGAUACCGGGAGGAACGCCGAUGGCGAAGGCAGCCACCUGGUCCACCCGUGACGCUGAGGCGCGAAAGCGUGGAGAGCAAACCCGGAUUAGAUACCCGGGUAGUCCACGCCCUAAACGAUGCGCGCUAGGUCUCUGGGUCUCCUGGGGGCCGAAGCUAACGCGUUAAGCGCGCCGCCUGGGGAGUACGGCCGCAAGGCUGAAACUCAAAGGAAUUGACGGGGGCCCGCACAAGCGGUGGAGCAUGUGGUUUAAUUCGAAGCAACGCGAAGAACCUUACCAGGCCUUGACAUGCUAGGGAACCCGGGUGAAAGCCUGGGGUGCCCCGCGAGGGGAGCCCUAGCACAGGUGCUGCAUGGCCGUCGUCAGCUCGUGCCGUGAGGUGUUGGGUUAAGUCCCGCAACGAGCGCAACCCCCGCCGUUAGUUGCCAGCGGGUGAGGCCGGGCACUCUAACGGGACUGCCCGCGAAAGCGGGAGGAAGGAGGGGACGACGUCUGGUCAUCAUGGCCCUUACGCCCAGGGCUGCACACGUGCUACAAUGGCCGGUACAAUGGGCAGCCACCCCGCGAGGGGGAGCGAAUCCCUAAAGCCGGUCUCAGUUCGGAUUGGAGUCUGCAACUCGACUCCAUGAAGCCGGAAUCGCUAGUAAUCGCGCAUCAGCUACGGCGCGGUGAAUACGUUCCCGGGCCUUGUACACACCGCCCGUCAACCCAUGGGAGCCGGGGGGCA
This 844-nucleotide ribosomal RNA is filed under the name uncultured bacterium. Its description in RNAcentral is "bacterial SSU rRNA". It matches the Rfam family "Bacterial small subunit ribosomal RNA", at positions 566 to 1420 of the family's 1533-position model. The record is from RNAcentral.